RNAcentral lists this ribosomal RNA (253 nucleotides) under uncultured bacterium. Its description in RNAcentral is "partial 16S ribosomal RNA". It matches the Rfam family "Bacterial small subunit ribosomal RNA", at positions 524 to 776 of the family's 1533-position model. The record is from RNAcentral.
UACGGGGGGGGCAAGCGUUGUUCGGAAUUACUGGGCGUAAAGGGCUCGUAGGCGGCCAACUAAGUCGGACGUGAAAUCCCCAGGCUCAACCUGGGAACUGCGUCCGAUACUGGAUGGCUUGAAUCCGGGAGAGGGAUGCAGAAUUCCAGGUGUAGCGGUGAAAUGCGUAGAUAUCUGGAGGAACACCGGUGGCGAAGGCGGCAUCCUGGACCGGUAUUGACGCUGAGGAGCGAAAGCCAGGGGAGCAAACGGG